GCCUUCGUGGUGUAGUGGUCAGCGCACUCGGCGCUGAAUAUCUCGUGUAUUCGAGAGGUCCGUGGUUCGAAUCCCGGCUAGGGCA
Molecule: transfer RNA, 85 nt
Filed under: Stegodyphus mimosarum
Lineage: Eukaryota; Metazoa; Arthropoda; Arachnida; Araneae; Eresidae
Rfam family: tRNA
About the family: Transfer RNA (tRNA) molecules are approximately 80 nucleotides in length.
Source: Rfam by way of RNAcentral